GCGGGCGUGGCGCAAUUGGUAGCGCAUCAGCUUCCCAAGCUGGGUGUUGCGGGUUCGAAUCCCGUCGCCCGCUCCA
RNAcentral lists this transfer RNA (76 nucleotides) under Acidobacteriota bacterium. Its description in RNAcentral is "Acidobacteria bacterium tRNA-Gly". It matches the Rfam family "tRNA". Rfam says of the family: Transfer RNA (tRNA) molecules are approximately 80 nucleotides in length. Their secondary structure includes four short double-helical elements and three loops (D, anti-codon, and T loops). RNAcentral also lists the same sequence under 1 other name. The record is from RNAcentral. Lineage: Bacteria; Pseudomonadati; Acidobacteriota.